Molecule: small RNA, 520 nt
Filed under: uncultured Glomus
Lineage: Eukaryota; Fungi; Glomeromycota; Glomeromycetes; Glomerales; Glomeraceae
Description: SSU rRNA
Rfam family: Eukaryotic small subunit ribosomal RNA
Source: RNAcentral
AGCAGCCGCGGUAAUUCCAGCUCCAAUAGCGUAUAUUAAAGUUGUUGCAGUUAAAAAGCUCGUAGUUGAAUUUCGGGAUUAAUUUACUGGUCGUGCUAUUGUACGUACUGGUUUUAUUGAUUCCUCCCUUCUGAUGAACUAUGAUGUCAUUAAUUUGGUGUCAUAGGAAAUCAGGACUGUUACUUUGAAAAAAUUAGAGUGUUUAAAGCAGGCUCACGCUUGAAUACAUUAGCAUGGAAUAACGGAAUAGGACGUUUGAUUCUAUUUUGUUGGUUUCUAGGAUCGACGUAAUGAUUAAUAGGGAUAGUUGGGGGCAUUAGUAUUCAAUUGUCAGAGGUGAAAUUCUUGGAUUUAUUGAAGACUAACUACUGCGAAAGCAUUUGCCAAGGAUGUUUUCAUUAAUCAAGAACGAAAGUUAGGGGAUCGAAGACGAUCAGAUACCGUCGUAGUCUUAACCAUAAACUAUGCCGACUAGGGAUCGGAUGAUGUUAAUUUUUUAAUGUACUCAUUCGGCGCCUUA